CCAGAGGGUCGGGCGGCCGCGUCGCAUGCCGUGCAUGUGUCGAGGAAAGUCCGGGCUCCGCGGAACGACGGUGCCGGGUAACGCCCGGCGGGGGCGACCCCAGGGACAGUGCCACAGAGAGCAGACCGCCUGCCUUCGCGGCAGGUAAGGGUGAAAGGGUGCGGCAAGAGCGCACCGCGCGGCCGGUAACGGCAGCGGCACGGCAAACCCCACCGGGAGCAAGACCGAAUAGGGGCGGCAUGGGGCGCGGCGACGCGCACCGGGGUGUGUUCCCACCCGCUGCCCGGGUUGGUUGCUGGAGGCGGCGCGCAAGCGUCGUCCGAGAGGAAUGGUCGCCCAGUCCCCGAAAGGGGAUGGACAGAACCCGGCUUACAGACCCUCUGGCAUC
RNAcentral lists this RNase P RNA (388 nucleotides) under Sphingomonas bacterium. Its description in RNAcentral is "RNase P RNA component class A". It matches the Rfam family "Bacterial RNase P class A". Rfam says of the family: Ribonuclease P (RNase P) is a ubiquitous endoribonuclease, found in archaea, bacteria and eukarya as well as chloroplasts and mitochondria. Its best characterised activity is the generation of mature 5'-ends of tRNAs by cleaving the 5'-leader elements of precursor-tRNAs. Cellular RNase Ps are ribonucleoproteins. RNAcentral also lists the same sequence under 1 other name. The record is from RNAcentral. Lineage: Bacteria; Pseudomonadati; Pseudomonadota; Alphaproteobacteria; Sphingomonadales; Sphingomonadaceae.